Molecule: long non-coding RNA, 812 nt
Filed under: Ananas comosus (pineapple)
Lineage: Eukaryota; Viridiplantae; Streptophyta; Magnoliopsida; Poales; Bromeliaceae
Description: long non-coding RNA (ACOM_LNC004851)
Source: RNAcentral
UAGUACCAUGUGGUUUUAUUUUUCUCUUUUUAUUAUCCAUUUCAUUAAUUUUUUUCGUUAAAUCAGUGACAAAAUUAAAAUUAAAAGGUACUAAAGUGAAUAUUCGAUAAACCUAGGUAGGGUAUCUAGAAUUUUUUGUAUAUAAUUUAACGAAAUAUUAAUGAAGGAAAAAAAAAUCAGUGGCAAAAUUAAAAUUAAAAGGUACUAAAGUAAAUAUUCGAUAACACUAUGACGUUUUUUGUAUAUAAUUUAAUAAAAUAUGAACAGAGGAGCCGACGAAAAGAGAAAAAUGAAACCAUAGAGUACUAAAUUGAUACACUUUAAACCACCGGAUACUAAAGUGAGAAAGUGCAAAACCACAGGGUACUAAAUUGAUUCACUUUAAACCACAUGAUACUAAAGUGAAAAAGUAUGAAACCACUGGGGUGGUAUUUGAAAGUUUUUUCUAAUAUAAAAUUAAUUUUUUUAUAUAUUAUAUAUAUUUUAAUUUGUAUUGAAAUUUAUACUAUUGUUAAUUAAAUUGUUAUAUAAAUUAUUAUAUUAUAAAUUACCAUAUAACAUAUUUUUAUAUAAAAUAUACUGAUAUAAAUUAAUUAUUUUAUUUUUAAAGUAUAUUUAGAUAUUAUUCUAGACUUUUUAUUCAAACAUUACUAAGGAUACUUUCUAAAGUAUUCUCCAAUGCAUCCAAAUAUAUAUAAAUUUAUAGUUGUUCUAAUUUGUAGCGAAAUAUUUUUUGUUCUUGAAAAUAAUAAAAAUUGUUCUCUAAAAUUUAGUUCUUAGUUACAAGUUUGGCGACGUUUGGUCUUCGAGAU